AUUGAACGCUGGCGGCAUGCUUUACACAUGCAAGUCGAACGGUAACAGGCCUUCGGGUGCUGACGAGUGGCGAACGGGGGAGUAAUGCAUCGGAACGUACCCAGAGGUGGGGGAUAACGCAGCGAAAGCUGUGCUAAUACCGCAUGUGAUCUGAGGAUGAAAGCGGGGGACCGAGCAGCAAUGUUUGGCCUCGCGCCUUUGGAGCGGCCGAUGUCGGAUUAGCUAGUUGGUGGGGUAAAGGCCUACCAAGGCGACGAUCCGUAGCUGGUCUGAGAGGACGACCAGCCACACUGGGACUGAGACACGGCCCAGGGUCCUACGGGAGGCAGCAGUGGGGAAUUUUGGACAAUGGGCGCAAGCCUGAUCCAGCAAUGCCGCGUGCGGGAAGAAGGCCUUCGGGUUGUAAACCGCUUUUGGCAGGAACGAAACGGUGUCCGCUAAUACCGGGCGCUAAUGACGGUACCUGCAGAAUAAGCACCGGCUAACUACGUG
Molecule: ribosomal RNA, 492 nt
Filed under: uncultured bacterium
Lineage: Bacteria
Description: partial 16S ribosomal RNA
Rfam family: Bacterial small subunit ribosomal RNA
Source: RNAcentral